AGUAGCCGCGGUAAUUCCAGCUCCAAUAGCGUAUAUUAAAGUUGUUGCAGUUAAAAAGCUCGUAGUUGAAUUUCGGGAUCAAUAUGCUGGUCGUGCCAUUGGUACGUACUAGUAUUAUUGGUUUCUUCCUUCUGAUGAAUCAUGAUGUCAUUAAGUUGAUGUCAUGGGGAAUCAGGACUGUUACUUUGAAAAAUUAGAGUGUUUAAAGCAGGCUCGCGUUUGAAUACAUUAGCAUGGAAUAAUGAAAUAGGACGUUUGAUUCUAUUUUGUUGGUUUCUAGAAUUGACGUAAUGAUUAAUAGGGAUAGUUGGGGGCAUUAGUAUUCAAUUGUCAGAGGUGAAAUUCUUGGAUUUAUUGAAGACUAACUACUGCGAAAGCAUUUGCCAAGGAUGUUUUCAUUAAUCAAGAACGAAAGUUAGGGGAUCGAAGACGAUUAGAUACCGUCGUAGUCUUAACCAUAAACUAUGCCGACUAGGGAUCGGAUGAUGUAAUUUUUAAUGACUC
This 504-nucleotide ribosomal RNA is filed under the name uncultured Glomus. Its description in RNAcentral is "SSU rRNA". It matches the Rfam family "Eukaryotic small subunit ribosomal RNA", at positions 569 to 1077 of the family's 1831-position model. The record is from RNAcentral. Lineage: Eukaryota; Fungi; Glomeromycota; Glomeromycetes; Glomerales; Glomeraceae.